CUCUGGUCUCCUGACUCUGGUGCAGGGAACAUUUGCACUGUUCUUAUUAUUACCCCAGGAGCUGGCUUAUUGCACAAUAUCAGGAAAUAGUCCAUAUGAAAUCCUGGCCCACAAAGCAUACAUGUUCUGCUUUUUAUUCUGCAGCUUUUUUAUAAAGUGUGUUUUCCUUUCCCAUAAUGUCAUCUGGAAGCAAUUCCUCCCAACAGCUGGAUUUGCUUUCACAAUUGGUAAACACGUAAAAUGGAAGGCAGGGGAAGAUGCGGAGUGUCACCAGUGGAGCCUUUCCCCCACCCGCUUGGCUCGUGUUCUGAGGCUUAUCUUGGGUCUCUGCACAAGCCUCAUCAAAACUGAGAAUGUCUUCAAACAAGCGACCCACACUGCAUUCCCUCCUUCAGGGGGUCAGCAUGUUCUUUGGGGGAGAAAUUUUCUGAAUACUUUGCAGAUAAAAUCGAUCAGAUGCAGACCAGAUUGCCAGCCGCCAAGAUCUCGGAGCUACACGUGGAGGCCAGCAAAGCAGCACCUUCUCCAAGACCUCACCAUCCUGGUACAGUCAGGACCUCUGGGGUCCUGCAGGAAGCCUCCCGCAGGGCACAGCCUUCCCAGAGCCACUGCCACCAAAGCCAAUACAGGACGAGAGCCCAAAGAGCACCUACUAGGUCAUCAAAGAAAAUGAAUGUCCCCCCACCCCACCCCCCCAUGUGCUCCCGAGGAACAAGUUUUCACGCAGGCACAAACAGAAGGCAGCCAGUACUCCGGAAGGCCAAGAGCACAGCUGUCAUCUGGGUGUUGGCUCACACCCUCUCCACUCUGUCUCCAGGGUCUCGGGGGCCGCUUCUCUAGGGGUUCACCAACAUGGUUAGUUCUGGUCCAGGAGGUUCAGGGCACAGUUUAAGCUGGAAUACAGUGCCGGGGGGCAAAGCUGAGGCUUCAGGCACUCUCCUCCCACAUAAGAAAUGCUAUUCUUUGAUCAAAGUUUCAAAUUUGGAAGAAAUCAACCUAGCAUAUGGCUCAACUCUCAGAGGGAGCACGAGAGUAUGCCGUUGACCAGGCAGCCCUACAGAGAUGCAGAAGAGGGUAUGUGUCACCCGGCCCAGCGGCGGGGAUGACCUCAACACGGUGCCGGCCAGAAGGGGAGAGAGUGGGGGGUAGAAGGGGCUUCCUUCCAAGCACCACCAACCCUCUGGGUAGCCAGGGCCCCACUUCCUGUGAGGGAGCUUCCCUGUGCUGUGGACCCUUGGCUGCAAAGUCCUCCUGGAAGAGAUGAGCACCCCGCCCACUGAACAAACAAAAGGAGCCCAUCAGGAGCAGGGCUCACCAGAGGACCCUGAGGAGGCUGACUGCCCAGCUCCUCAGCACAAGCUGCAAACGGAGCCCCUUUGCCUAGGCCCAUGGUGGGUGGAGUGCACUCUUUCUUGGGUCUGCUUCUUUCCUGGGGUCCAUCUUCUCUCUCUGUCCUCCAGGAAGAGGCUGUAUCUUGUCUGGAGUCAAGGAACAGAAAUUUCAUUGUACAGUUUUCCAAAUCUCAUGCCUCAUAUCUGAAAUGUCGAAACUCCGUGUUUCUAGUUGCAGGCCAAGGCUGCUUCCUCCAGACCCUGGUCACUCUGGUCUGAUCGCCUGCACUGCUGGGAGGGCCCUCGGAGUCCACUCGGUGAGAUUCACUGAAGCCCAGGGGGGUGGGUGGGUGAGAGCAACCCCCUGGUUAAUACUUCAAAGUGACCCUCUAGAUUAAAGCAACUAGAGUUCUAACAACCAUAUGCAAUGUGUGCACCUUGUUUGGAUCCUGAUUCAAAUGUACCAACCGUAAGGAGACAUCUUGGGCUAUUUCAGGAAAAUUUGAAUUUGGACUGGGUAUCAGAAAACAUUUAAGAACUUAUUGUUAAUUUUGAUAAGUAAGUGUGGAAAAAAACAUAAAAAAUAAAUAUGUAAACAAAUUUUUAUAUGUGUGAUAAUGGUG
RNAcentral lists this long non-coding RNA (1954 nucleotides) under Lynx pardinus (Iberian lynx). The record is from RNAcentral. Lineage: Eukaryota; Metazoa; Chordata; Mammalia; Carnivora; Felidae.